RNAcentral lists this ribosomal RNA (522 nucleotides) under uncultured bacterium. RNAcentral describes it as "partial 16S ribosomal RNA". It matches the Rfam family "Bacterial small subunit ribosomal RNA", at positions 355 to 871 of the family's 1533-position model. The record is from RNAcentral.
UGGGGAAUUUUGGGACAAUGGGCGAAAGCCUGAUCCAGCAAUGCCGCGUGUGUGAAGAAGGCCUUCGGGUUGUAAGCACUUUUGUCCGGAAAGAAAUCCUUGGCUCUAAUACAGUCGGGGGAUGACGGUACCGGAAGAAUAAGCACCGGCUAACUACGUGCCAGCAGCCGCGGUAAUACGUAGGGUGCAAGCGUUAAUCGGAAUUACUGGGCGUAAAGCGUGCGCAGGCGGUUUGCUAAGACCGAUGUGAAAUCCCCGGGCUCAACCUGGGAACUGCAUUGGUGACUGGCAGGCUAGAGUAUGGCAGAGGGGGGUAGAAUUCCACGUGUAGCAGUGAAAUGCGUAGAGAUGUGGAGGAAUACCGAUGGCGAAGGCAGCCCCCUGGGCCAAUACUGACGCUCAUGCACGAAAGCGUGGGGAGCAAACAGGAUUAGAUACCCUGGUAGUCCACGCCCUAAACGAUGUCAACUAGUUGUUGGGGAUUCAUUCCUUAGUAACGUAGCUAACGCGUGAAGUUGACCG